GUGAAAGGUGAACCGCGUUACAGUGAGGGACCACUGUAAUGUUGAAGUUCCAAGACAUGCUUGGAAGGUUAACUGGUAAUUCAGCUGGAGAUGCCCCUGCAGCCAGAGUUGGAGAUGUCAGGAUCCUGGGUCUGAUUAUGGUUUGGGGAAUUUUUAGGUUCUUCCCCAUUAACAGCUUGCCCUGUGUUUCUCUAGGUCCAUGUCACCAUCUACUCUCAUUCAUGCUAAAGAUCAUGACCACACUAU
This 246-nucleotide long non-coding RNA is filed under the name Oreochromis niloticus (Nile tilapia). RNAcentral's name for it is "lncRNA (ENSONIG00000030643.1)". Lineage: Eukaryota; Metazoa; Chordata; Actinopteri; Cichliformes; Cichlidae. The record is from RNAcentral.